UACGAAGGGGGCGAGCGUUGUUCGGAUUUACUGGGCGUAAAGGGUGCGUAGGUGGCGCGGUAAGUCGGGUGUGAAAUCUCGGAGCUUAACUCCGAAAUUGCAUUCGAUACUGCCGUGCUCGAGGACUGGAGAGGAGACUGGAAUUCAUGGUGUAGCAGUGAAAUGCGUAGAGAUCAUGAGGAAGACCAGUGGCGAAGGCGGGUCUCUGGACAGUUCCUGACACUGAGGCACGAAGGCCAGGGGAGCAAACGGG
Molecule: ribosomal RNA, 253 nt
Filed under: uncultured bacterium
Lineage: Bacteria
Description: partial 16S ribosomal RNA
Rfam family: Bacterial small subunit ribosomal RNA
Source: RNAcentral